GAGUUGAUCAUGGCUCAGGACGAACGCUGGCGGCGUGCCUAACACAUGCAAGUCGAGCGAUGAAGCUCCUUCGGGAGUGGAUUAGCGGCGGACGGGUGAGUAACACGUGGGUAACCUGCCUCAUAGAGGGGAAUAGCCUCCCGAAAGGGAGAUUAAUACCGCAUAAUGUAUGAGAAUCGCAUGAUUUUUGUACCAAAGGAGUAAUCCGCUAUGAGAUGGACCCGCGGCGCAUUAGCUAGUUGGUGAGGUAAAGGCUCACCAAGGCGACGAUGCGUAGCCGACCUGAGAGGGUGAUCGGCCACAUUGGAACUGAGACACGGUCCAGACUCCUACGGGAGGCAGCAGUGGGGAAUAUUGCGCAAUGGGGGAAACCCUGACGCAGCAACGCCGCGUGAAUGAAGAAGGCCUUAGGGUUGUAAAGUUCUGUCAUAUGGGAAGAUAAUGACGGUACCAUAUGAGGAAGCCACGGCUAACUACGUGCCAGCAGCCGCGGUAAUAC
Molecule: ribosomal RNA, 499 nt
Filed under: uncultured bacterium
Lineage: Bacteria
Description: bacterial SSU rRNA
Rfam family: Bacterial small subunit ribosomal RNA
Source: RNAcentral